GCGCAAGGGAGUCUCCUGAAGUACUGGAAGUUUCUAUAUCUUUUUCAGAGUGGUGGGUACACAGGUGCACACAUAUAUAAAAAUGUAUUCAUCUGCAUACUUGAAGUUUUACACACUUUGUAUAAUUUAUUAAUCAACCAAAAAAGCAAAACUAACCUAAUGCAUAAAAUCCAUCAGGUUAAUGAGUAGACAUCGUUCUUUGUCCUGGAAACCUCAAGUUUAGUUUGCUAUUCCGUUUUAGCUGACGUUGCCCUGCUUGAAGUGCUGUCCAGGGAAGCCACAAGGCACUGUUCUGGGUGGGGGUGGGAGUGGUAUCCACUUCCCCAGACCCACCAAGAUCUGAGGUGGAGGCUGGCCAGACACUGGGACUCUGCUGGCAUUUCGGCUGCAGAUUUGGGGCAGGUGCCUGACACAGCACAGCUAGAUGAGUCGGGAUGUGGCAGGAAGCAGGUGACACUGACAUAAGCCAAGAGCUGGAAGCAAC
This 484-nucleotide long non-coding RNA is filed under the name Callithrix jacchus (white-tufted-ear marmoset). RNAcentral's name for it is "lncRNA (ENSCJAG00000072608.1)". Lineage: Eukaryota; Metazoa; Chordata; Mammalia; Primates; Cebidae. The record is from RNAcentral.